Molecule: ribosomal RNA, 486 nt
Filed under: uncultured bacterium
Lineage: Bacteria
Description: partial 16S ribosomal RNA
Rfam family: Bacterial small subunit ribosomal RNA
Source: RNAcentral
AUUGAACGCUGGCGGCAUGCCUUACACAUGCAAGUCGAACGGCAGCACGGGUGCUUGCACCUGGUGGCGAGUGGCGAACGGGUGAGUAAUACAUCGGAACAUGUCCUGUAGUGGGGUAUAGCCCGGCGAAAGCCGGAUUAAUACCGCAUACGAUCUACGGAUGAAAGCGGGGGACCUUCGGGCCUCGCGCUAUGGGGUUGGCCGAUGGCGGAUUAGCUAGUUGGUGGGGUAAAGGCCUACCAAGGCGACGAUCAGUAGCUGGUCUGAGAGGACGACCAGCCACACUGGAACUGAGACACGGCCCAGACUCCUACGGGAGGCAGCAGUGGGGAAUUUUGGACAAUGGGCGAAAGCCUGAUCCAGCAAUGCCGCGUGUGUGAAGAAGGCCUUCGGGUUGUAAAGCACUUUUGUCCGGAAAGAAAUCCUUGGCUCUAAUACAGUCGGGGGAUGACGGUACCGGAAGAAUAAGCACCGGCUAACUACGUG